GUGCAGGAUAAGUUACAAUGCAGCCUGUGCGGUACUGUGUUGUCGUUCCCCCUGCAAACAGUAACCUGUUUCCUCGCUAUCCCUGUUUGUCACUUCCCAUUGACUGUCAGGGACGUAAGGUUUCAGACAC
Molecule: small nucleolar RNA, 130 nt
Organism: Fundulus heteroclitus (mummichog)
Lineage: Eukaryota; Metazoa; Chordata; Actinopteri; Cyprinodontiformes; Fundulidae
Gene: SNORA63
Rfam family: Small nucleolar RNA SNORA63
About the family: E3 belongs to the H/ACA class of snoRNAs and is involved in the processing of eukaryotic pre-rRNA and has regions of complementarity to 18S rRNA.
Source: Ensembl